Molecule: ribosomal RNA, 406 nt
Filed under: uncultured bacterium
Lineage: Bacteria
Description: partial 16S ribosomal RNA
Rfam family: Bacterial small subunit ribosomal RNA
Source: RNAcentral
AUUGAACGCUGGCGGCAGGCCUAACACAUGCAAGUCGAACGAGUGGCGGACGGGUGAGUAAUGUCUGGGAAACUGCCUGAUGGAUGGGGAUAACUACUGGAAAGGGUAGCUAAUACCGCAUACCAUCAGAUGUUCCCAGAUGGGAUUAGCUAGUUGGUGGGGUAACGGCUAACCAAGGCGACGAUCCCUAGCUGGUCUGAGAGGAUGACCAGCCACACUGGAACUGAGACAUGGUCCAGAUGCCGACGGGAGGCAGCAGUGGGGAAUAUUGCACAAUGGGCGCAAUCCUGAUGCAGCCAUGCCGCGUGUAUGAAGAAGGCCUUCGGGUUGUAAAGUACUUUCAGCGGGGAGGCGUUACCCGCAGAAGAAGCACCGGCUAACUCCGGGCCAGCAGCCGCGGUAAUUC